CAGCAGCCGCGGGAAUACGUAGGCGGCAAGCGUUGUCCGGAAUUAUUGGGCGUAAAGGGCUCGCAGGCGGUUUCUUAAGUCUGAUGUGAAAGCCCCCGGCUCAACCGGGGAGGGUCAUUGGAAACUGGGAAACUUGAGUGCAGAAGAGGAGAGUGGAAUUCCACGUGUAGCGGUGAAAUGCGUAGAGAUGUGGAGGAACACCAGUGGCGAAGGCGACUCUCUGGUCUGUAACUGACGCUGAGGAGCGAAAGCGUGGGGAGCGAACAGGAUUAGAUACCCGAGUAGUCCCUGUCUCUUAUAA
This 301-nucleotide ribosomal RNA is filed under the name uncultured bacterium. RNAcentral's name for it is "partial 16S ribosomal RNA". It matches the Rfam family "Bacterial small subunit ribosomal RNA", at positions 509 to 809 of the family's 1533-position model. The record is from RNAcentral.